Molecule: long non-coding RNA, 635 nt
Filed under: Homo sapiens (human)
Lineage: Eukaryota; Metazoa; Chordata; Mammalia; Primates; Hominidae
Description: HSALNT0382097
Source: RNAcentral
CUUUCUUCUUUGUGGCCCAAAUUGAAGAGGACACUGGAUUCCUCUGAUGGAGUUCUGCUCCCUAGAGCUGAUGCUGCAGAUGCUGCUCUCAGGGUCCUUGGGCUUGCCCCCAGCCAAUGGGAAAGAGAGGUCAAGACUGUGCUCAGCUUGGUGGACCUGAGACAUCGAGGAUCCUUCUGAAAGGAUGGCCUGAGGCUUGGAGCGUCAGAGGAAGUCUGGGGCCAACUCUGCCUCUCUGAGCUUCAGUUUUCUCUUCUCUGCAACAAGAGCAUUGGGCUGUAUAAUCCCUAGAAGGAGACCCUUCUGCUCAGUAAAAUGCAGACUUCUCAGCCUGAUCUUCCACAAUCUGACGUCAGCCUACCUCCUCAUCCUGCCUGGGCCUGGAGGCAUGCCAGCCAAUUCAGACCACUUGCCAUUUUUCUUUUUCUCCUCUGCAUCUGGAAUUGCUGUCAGUGAAACCUUCUCUUUCCCUCAAGGAGCACCUUGAAUGCUGGCCCCACAUCACCUUCCUGACCCUGUCAGCUCAAAGAGGUUUCUCUGCAUCUGAACUCCAUGUGUUCCAGUCUCUGGGUCCUUACCAUGCACUGCUGGGGCAUGCUGUGUGCUGGCCGCCGUCCCUCCUCAUGCUCAGAAGC